This 545-nucleotide small RNA is filed under the name Pan troglodytes (chimpanzee). Its description in RNAcentral is "processed transcript". The record is from RNAcentral. Lineage: Eukaryota; Metazoa; Chordata; Mammalia; Primates; Hominidae.
AGAUGGAGAAAAAGAUUUCAGGAAGAGAGAAGAGCUUAGGUAAAGGCCUGGAGAUGGUCUUGGGGAAAAAAAUAUAUCUGUCACGGAUUACAAUAACCUCUUAACUGGCUGUUUCCACUCUUGCCUCUCUUCAGUCUAUUCUGAACCCAGAAGCCCGAGAGAGCUUCCAAAAUAGACGACGGCUCGAUCUUGGCUUGGGAUCCUGUCUAGGAAGAUGUCCUCUCUGCACAGGGAGUCAGAAAGGAGAUGCUGAAGAAUACCAGCCUCCAAUAUGGAAAUCAUACUUAUAUCAGUUACAGCAAGAGGCACCUCGUCCCAAGAGAAUCAUUUGUCCUCGGGAGGUGGAAAACAGACCAAAAUAUUAUGGAAGAGAGUUUCACGGGAUCAUCUCUCGGGAGCAGGCGGAUGAGCUUCUUGGAGGCGUGGAGGGUGCCUACAUCCUUAGAGAAAGCCAGCGGCAACCAGGAUGCUACACGCUGGCUCUCAGGUUUGGAAACCAGACCUUAAACUACAGGCUCUUCCACGACGGGAAACACUUUGUGGGU